CAGACGAACGCUGGCGGCGUGCCUAAUACAUGCAAGUCGAACGAACUCUGGUAUUGAUUGGUGCUUGCAUCAUGAUUUACAUUUGAGUGAGUGGCGAACUGGUGAGUAACACGUGGGAAACCUGCCCAGAAGCGGGGGAUAACACCUGGAAACAGAUGCUAAUACCGCAUAACAACUUGGACCGCAUGGUCCGAGCUUGAAAGAUGGCUUCGGCUAUCACUUUUGGAUGGUCCCGCGGCGUAUUAGCUAGAUGGUGGGGUAACGGCUCACCAUGGCAAUGAUACGUAGCCGACCUGAGAGGGUAAUCGGCCACAUUGGGACUGAGACACGGCCCAAACUCCUACGGGAGGCAGCAGUAGGGAAUCUUCCACAAUGGACGAAAGUCUGAUGGAGCAACGCCGCGUGAGUGAAGAAGGGUUUCGGCUCGUAAAACUCUGUUGUUAAAGAAGAACAUAUCUGAGAGUAACUGUUCAGGUAUUGACGGUAUUUAACCAGAAAGCCACGGCUAACUACGUGCCAGCAGCCGCGGUAAUACGUAGGUGGCAAGCGUUGUCCGGAUUUAUUGGGCGUAAAGCGAGCGCAGGCGGUUUUUUAAGUCUGAUGUGAAAGCCUUCGGCUCAACCGAAGAAGUGCAUCGGAAACUGGGAAACUUGAGUGCAGAAGAGGACAGUGGAACUCCAUGUGUAGCGGUGAAAUGCGUAGAUAUAUGGAAGAACACCAGUGGCGAAGGCGGCUGUCUGGUCUGUAACUGACGCUGAGGCUCGAAAGUAUGGGUAGCAAACAGGAUUAGAUACCCUGGUAGUCCAUACCGUAAACGAUGAAUGCUAAGUGUUGGAGGGUUUCCGCCCUUCAGUGCUGCAGCUAACGCAUUAAGCAUUCCGCCUGGGGAGUACGGCCGCAAGGCUGAAACUCAAAGGAAUUGACGGGGGCCCGCACAAGCGGUGGAGCAUGUGGUUUAAUUCGAAGCUACGCGAAGAACCUUACCAGGUCUUGACAUACUAUGCAAAUCUAAGAGAUUAGACGUUCCCUUCGGGGACAUGGAUACAGGUGGUGCAUGGUUGUCGUCAGCUCGUGUCGUGAGAUGUUGGGUUAAGUCCCGCAACGAGCGCAACCCUUAUUAUCAGUUGCCAGCAUUAAGUUGGGCACUCUGGUGAGACUGCCGGUGACAAACCGGAGGAAGGUGGGGAUGACGUCAAAUCAUCAUGCCCCUUAUGACCUGGGCUACACACGUGCUACAAUGGAUGGUACAACGAGUUGCGAACUCGCGAGAGUAAGCUAAUCUCUUAAAGCCAUUCUCAGUUCGGAUUGUAGGCUGCAACUCGCCUACAUGAAGUCGGAAUCGCUAGUAAUCGCGGAUCAGCAUGCCGCGGUGAAUACGUUCCCGGGCCUUGUACACACCGCCCGUCACACCAUGAGAGUUUGUAACACCCAAAGUCGGUGGGGUAACCUUUUAGGAACCAGCCGCCUAAGGUGGGACAGAUGAUUAGGGUGAAGUCGUAACAAGGUAGCCGUAGGAGAACCUGCGGCUGGAUCCCCCCCCUUU
This 1543-nucleotide ribosomal RNA is filed under the name Lactiplantibacillus plantarum. Its description in RNAcentral is "partial 16S ribosomal RNA". It matches the Rfam family "Bacterial small subunit ribosomal RNA". The record is from RNAcentral. Lineage: Bacteria; Bacillati; Bacillota; Bacilli; Lactobacillales; Lactobacillaceae.